RNAcentral lists this ribosomal RNA (539 nucleotides) under uncultured bacterium. RNAcentral's name for it is "bacterial SSU rRNA". It matches the Rfam family "Bacterial small subunit ribosomal RNA", at positions 356 to 896 of the family's 1533-position model. The record is from RNAcentral.
GAGGAAUAUUGGUCAAUGGGCGCGAGCCUGAACCAGCCAAGUAGCGUGCAGGAUGACGGCCCUAUGGGUUGUAAACUGCUUUUGUAUGGGAAUAAAGUCAAUCACGUGUGAUUGUUUGCAGGUACCAUACGAAUAAGGACCGGCUAAUUCCGUGCCAGCAGCCGCGGUAAUACGGAAGGUCCGGGCGUUAUCCGGAUUUAUUGGGUUUAAAGGGAGCGUAGGCCGGAGAUUAAGUGUGUUGUGAAAUGUAGACGCUCAACGUCUGACUUGCAGCGCAUACUGGUUUCCUUGAGUACGCACAACGUUGGCGGAAUUCGUCGUGUAGCGGUGAAAUGCUUAGAUAUGACGAAGAACUCCGAUUGCGAAGGCAGCUGACGGGAGCGCAACUGACGCUUAAGCUCGAAGGUGCGGGUAUCGAACAGGAUUAGAUACCCUGGUAGUCCGCACAGUAAACGAUGGGUGCCCGCUGUUGGUACCUGGUAUCAGCGGCUAAGCGAAAGCAUUAAGCAUCCCACCUGGGGAGUACGCCGGCAACGGUG